Molecule: transfer RNA, 75 nt
Filed under: Bacillus thuringiensis
Lineage: Bacteria; Bacillati; Bacillota; Bacilli; Caryophanales; Bacillaceae
Description: tRNA-Gly
Rfam family: tRNA
About the family: Transfer RNA (tRNA) molecules are approximately 80 nucleotides in length.
Source: RNAcentral
GCGGAGGUAGUUCAGUGGUAGAAUACAACCUUGCCAAGGUUGGGGUCGCGGGUUCGAAUCCCGUCUUCCGCUCCA